CAAAGGAGAGCCUCUAAAAUUAUCAGUACUGAACCGGUGGGGGAGGAAGGAAGAGAUGCUAUGAGCCGAUUGAGCAACAGAACGGAAAAGACCCAACCUUCUCCGACCUAUCGCCUUUCCUUUUUUUCCAAAGAGAAUCACCAUUGGCCGGGCACGGGGUUAAAGGAAUUAUAGUCCCAUCUGGGGGGCUCCUCCAGGUUGGGGGGGGGAGCUCGAAGCAGCUCAGAGCCAAUAGCUGACAGACUGUCGGACCGGUGCGCCCCCAAGUAUGCGUCAAACUUGGGGAAGCCGGGACGGAUUCUGGGACUUGCAAAGAGUAGGAAUGCGGCAUUGCCGGAAAUGCUGGGGUUCACACGCCGAUUGCAAAGAAAAGGAUGGGAGCGCCGAGGAUCGGCGGCGCGCGGACGUUAGCUGCCCCCGACCCCAUCCGAGAGGGGUGAGAACAAGGCGUGGAAGCCCAAACCUUUGACUGGCACGAAGGGAAUCUCACCCCAGACGUGUUUCUCGCCCCUCCCAGCGUGGAGUGGCUCCCUUCUGGCUUUGGAGGCUCACGUGCUCGAGUUAUUUCGGGGUUAGUGCUUGUUCUGCUCGAUGUAGGAAUAAAUAGCGAAAACUCGGCGCGAUCCAGUCAUGGAGAUAAGUUUCAGUUCGGUUACAAGAGAGAUUUGGGUCUUUGAUGUCCCAUCAGUUUUCCAGCACACUGGUUCCUCCUGAUGGAGAGGAGAAAGCUGGUAACACUGGGCGCUCCCUUCUUCUCUUGCCAGUGUGCGGAGGAAUGGGGACUACACUGCCCUCUCCCGCCCUUUGGAGUCUUUCUGCCUGCCGUAGGUUCCUGUGCUGUUAAAGGAGGAGCUCUGCUUCGAGUUUUGCUGCAAACUCAUUUACUUGGGAAGAGGCUUUCAUUGUCUUCUGAUCGAUCCGCUGGUGUUUGUUCUUUACAUUGAAAGUACCCGGGAAAUCAAUACAGUUGGCCUACAAUCUGGUAGUAGUAUCAGUUGAAGUUGAAUCUCAUCAGGAUUGUAAAAAGCAAGCUCUGAUCUAGGUAUGGGGCUUAUUUCCUGCAGUUGCACAAUCAAACUGGUUAACAACAAAAUACAAAAUACAACUAUAAAACAGUUCCACUUUUGAUAGCUCCUAAAGCAGUGGUGUUCGCACCACUUCAGCAGAAUUGUAGCUAAUUUUUUGUUGCCCAGACCUAAAAUGGACUUCUGGAAACAGCAUCCACACAGAGAACCGUUUGUUCAUAUAUUUGAAUCCCACCACUAUCCUAAAGUAAUAACUGACAGGUACAAAAGACCUAGACAAAAGUCUAGAGCAGUGUUUCUCAACCUCAGCAACUUUAAGAUGUGUGGGUUUCAGCUCCCAGAAUUAACCAGCUAUGCAUGUCUGGGGAAUUCUGGGAGCUGAAGUCCAUACAUCUUGAGAAACACUGGUCUAAAAGGACCCUUUUUCUUAAGUGGCAGAAAAGUUUGGCUCCCAAGAAAUUAUUUUACAUUCGUUAUAAUCAUGGUAAGUGAAUGGCCUGAAGCUGAUAGAUGAACAUGAUGCUUUUUCAUGGAUGUGAACUCAGAUCUUCCUAGCCCAAAUUUAGCACACUUAUCACAAUUUGCUUUUAUGCAACUCACUAUUUUAUGUCAGGUGGUUGACUUAAUCAUUUGGCCAUUAUACUCUGUACUGGAAGACUAAAGCACUUGCAGUUAGCAUAUGUGUCAUUUUUACUUUUUUUCGCUACUGCAAAUUCAUUUAAUGUUCAGACUUACUGUGUCCUUCAGAUUAUAAAUUUGUAUUAUAGAUAAUACAAAUCAUGUUUAUGUGAAUAAUGUGGUUUAUGAUAACCCUAAAAUACAGCAACCAGAUUAAAGGAAUACAAAAUGGCAGCUGUUUCAGCUUUUAAGUGACAUAGUCUGUGUGACUGUAGAAAACCAAAAUUGCCCCAAAAGUCUAACAUGCUUUGGUUCAUAGUAUUGUGUAAACACCUACAAUCAGGUUAUUUCCAUAAACCAGGUUCAAUUAAUUAUAGGGUAAAUAUGUCAAAAUAAAAAGUGAUUUUUGAAACCACAAAGUGCAAUGUAAUGGGAAAUAAAAAUGGUGCUUCUUUGGA
Molecule: long non-coding RNA, 2101 nt
Organism: Crotalus tigris (Tiger rattlesnake)
Lineage: Eukaryota; Metazoa; Chordata; Lepidosauria; Squamata; Viperidae
Exons: 3
Source: RefSeq, a predicted model, not a curated record